CCCCCGAUCGAUCCGAGA
This 18-nucleotide unclassified non-coding RNA is filed under the name Chlamydomonas reinhardtii. RNAcentral's name for it is "small RNA Cre_1043". Lineage: Eukaryota; Viridiplantae; Chlorophyta; Chlorophyceae; Chlamydomonadales; Chlamydomonadaceae. The record is from RNAcentral.